GAGGUAUGGCAUCAUCAAGAUGGCUGCCAUUGCCAUGGAAACGAAACAAAUGUGAAAAAUUUCUGUUUUUUGUUUUGGUGAACUGUUUGAAUAUGCUUACACUCAGAAUCAUCAUAUUUUAAUACAAUGUAGGUGCCCACUAUAUACAGGUGUUGGAUGAUUUUGGCACACAUUGGACCUACUAUGUUGCCAUGGAAACUACACCAAAAAUUUCAAAAAUAUCAAAAUGCUCAAAACUUAAUGAAACUUCACAGUAACGAUGAGCAACAUUGGAAGAUGUGGAAUUUGGCGUUGGAAUUUCCAAAAUAUCUGUUGUUACCAUGAAAACAAUGCAAAAAGGUCAAAACUUUGAAUUUUCACAGAACAUUCCAGAACAUCAAUGUUAAAUUUAUUCUAGAGACAUUAAAUGGUAUAUGAUGGUAUAUAUGAUUAUGGAGGGAAAAAAUUGCAGCGGGGGUUUGACUUUGGAAUAUUCAAAAUGGCCGCCGUUACCAUGGGAACAGCAAAAUUAUGAAAAACUUCAAAAUGCUUUAAAUUUAAUGAAACUUAUAACAAAUUUUGCCUAGCUUAUGUAGACUUAACUUUUGAGUUUCUAAUUUUCAAAAUGGCCGCCGUUGCCAUGGAAACAGCAAACAUUUUCUAAAUAGCUGCCGCUGGCUUGGCAAUAGGGAAAGGGUGCCAUCCGCUAUUGCUUGCAAUGGCAAAUCUAGUUUUUAUGGCACCCUCAACGGAGUUGGGGUGACAUAUUGUUAUUGUUCGUUUCUUUUUAUGGCACCCUCAACGGAGUUGGGGUGACGUAUUGUUAUUCUACGUUUCUUUUUUUUCUUAUUAUUAUUAUUUUUCUUGCAACACAUUUUGUCCAGGCGAUUUCUCCAAAUCUAAAGUACCAAAGUUGAUGGAACUUAACUAUAUUAAGGACCCCCAUGUGCAGAGUUGCAGGAAGCAUGGAAUGGUUCAAGAUGGCUGCCGUUUCCAUGGAAACAGAACAAAUGUGAAAAAAUCCAGUUUUUUGUUUUGGUGAACUGUUUGGAUAUGCUUUAACUCAGAAUCAUUAUAUUUAAAUACAGUGGAGCUGCCCACUAUAUACAGGUGUUGGGUGAUUUUGGCACUCAUUGGAACUACUAUGUUGCCAUGGAAACUACACCAAAAAUUCCAAAAAUAUGGAAAUGCUCCAAAUUUUUUGAAACUUCACAGUAACGAUGAGCAACAUUGGAAGAUGUGGAAUUUGGCGUUGGAAUUUCCAAAAUAUCUGUUGUUACCAUGGAAAUAAUGCAAAAAGGUCAAAACUUUGAAUUUUCACAGAACAUUCCAGAACAUCAAUGUUAAAUUUAUUCUAGAGACAUUAAAUGGUAUAUGAUGGUAUAUAUGAUUAUGGAGGGAAAAAACUGCACUUUUGGAAUAUUCAAAAUGGCCGCCGUUACCAUGGGAACAGCAAAAAUUAUGAAAAACUUCAAAAUGCUUUAAAUUUAAUGAAACUUAUAACAAAUGUUGCCUAGCUUAUGUAGACUUAACUUUUGAGUUUCGAAUUUUCAAAAUGGCCGCCGUUGCCAUGGAAACAGCAAAAAUAUUCUAAAUGGCUGUCGCUGGCCUGGCAAUGGGGAAAGGGUGCCAUCCGCUAUUGCUUGCAAUGGCAAAUCUAGUUUCUUAUUAUUAUUAUUAUAUUUAUUCUUCCACACUUUUUUGUCCAUUCUAUUUCUCGGAAUUGGCUUGAACAAUAUUGAUGGAACUAUACCAUAAUGUAGACCACCACAUUCUAUAGUGCAGUGGGGUAUGGCACCAUCAAGAUGGCUGCCGUUGCCAUGGAAACGAAACAAAUGUGAAAAAUUUCUGUUUUUUGUUUUGGUGAACUGUUUGAAUAUGCUUAAACUCAGAAUCAUCAUAUUUCAAUACAAUGAAGGUGCCCACUAUAUACAGGUGUUGGAUGAUUUUGGCACUCAUUGGACCUACUAUGUUGCCAUGGAAACUAAACCAAAAAUUUCAAAAAUAUCAAAAUGCUCCAAACUUUAUGAAACUUCACAGUUACGAUGAGCAACAUUGGAAGAUGUGGAAUUUGGCGUUGGAAUUUCCAAAAUAUCUGUAGAUACCAUGGAAACAAUGCAAAAAGGUCAAAACUUUGAAUUUUCACAGAACAUUCCAGAACAUCAAUGUUAAAUGUAUUCUAGAGACAUUAAAUGGUAUAUGAUGGUAUAUAUGAUAAUGGAGGGGGGAAAUUGCAGCGGGGGUUUGACUUUGGAAUAUUCAAAAUGGCCGCCGUUACCAUGGGAACAGCAAAAAUUUCAAAAAUUUCAAAGUUCUCCAAACUUAAUGAAACUUUUCAAAAUUGACAAUUGGCAUGAGUAGAUGCACUCUAUGAUUUUGGAAUUUUCAAAAUGGCUGCCGCUCGCCUGGCAAUGGGGGAAGGGUGCCAUCCGCUAUUGCUUGCAAUGGCAAAUCUAGUUCUUAUUUUUAUUCUUCCACACAUUUUGUCCACGCUAUUUCUCGGAAUUGGUCAGACCAAUGUUGAUGGAACUAUACCAUAAUAUGAACCUCCAUGUGAAGUUGUGCAAGAGACAUUGGAAUGGUAAAAAAUGGCCGCCGUUACCAUGGAAACUGCAAAAAUGUAAAAAAAAAUCCAAAUUCUAAAUCUUUUAUUAUAAGAGCCAACCUAAUGAAACUUUAUGUAAAUGUUGGCAGUGGUGCCCUGAGGUACCAACACGACUUAGCUUCUGCAAAAUCUGUACCAUUGCCAUGGAAACUGGAGAAAAGUUUAACAUUGAACCUAUGGGAAAAAACUUCAAACCAGCCUUUUCUAAAGGAAUAUAAGAUCAAACUCAAAGAAACUUUAUGUAUAUAUAACAUGGCAUAAGUCGAUAUUGAAACUGUUGUUGGAAUUUUCAAAAUGGACACCGUUACCAUGGAAACAGCAAAAAUGUCCAAAAAUCUCAAAAUGCUUCAAACUAAAUAAAACUCAUUA
RNAcentral lists this long non-coding RNA (2953 nucleotides) under Mytilus galloprovincialis (Mediterranean mussel). Lineage: Eukaryota; Metazoa; Mollusca; Bivalvia; Mytilida; Mytilidae. The record is from RNAcentral.